This is an RNA transcript of Vitis vinifera (wine grape), 2211 nucleotides long. It is a transcript of the gene named zinc finger CCCH domain-containing protein 48, with no coding region annotated. Lineage: Eukaryota; Viridiplantae; Streptophyta; Magnoliopsida; Vitales; Vitaceae. The transcript has 4 exons. The record is from RefSeq and is a predicted model, not a curated record.
AUUUUUUUUUUUUUUUUUUUUUGCAAAAGAGAUGAAAGGCAAAGAGGUCCCACCAAGCGUGCUAGAAAUUUCUAAGCAUAAAUUUCGCUAAUAGUCUUAUGAUGUAAGCAAAAAAAUAGGAAAAAUAUGUGAAACAAAUUAUUUAUAAAUUGUAGGGUACAAUCUUUUUGGUAAUAUUCUUUACAAAAGAAUAUGUCCUUGUAAUUCUUUCACCUUGAUCACAAUAUGGAAGGCAAAAAUGAUGUUUUCUUGAUUUCAAAGAUCAAUCGAGGGCUACAAAUGACUUAUUCUCGAAUGAAAUUGUUGGCCGCGAAUAUCAAGUGUGUAGAACUUUUAUCAUUUCUUAGAUUGGUAGCGAGAUUUUAUGAAACUUUUUCUUCUUUGUGAAGCCUUUUUUCAUGUGUAGAGUCGUUUUUACUGAUUUGAAGUUUUGGAUUGAAGUUUUUAAGGGUUCAUUGAUUGUACAUGGUCGCUUUCUUAGGGAUAGGUACUGAGAAUUGAAGAUUGUGUAGGGGUUUGAUUGAUAUUAGUAUUAAGGUUUUGAAGGAUUUCUUUGAUUGUACAUUGUGGAAUUUUUAGGAUAUUAAAUUGAGAAUUGGAAGAAGGUUUUGAUGGUUGAUUUAUGAUUAUCCAUGGUGGAUUUCUUAGGGCUUUGUAUUAAGAAUUGGAAAGUUAAGUGUUUUGAUGGAUGUUGAAGAGAUCAAGUUGUUUUAUGUUAAUUGACGAUUAGUGGCUGUUCGUGAUGGAUUUCUGAGGGUCAAAGAUUUAAGGGGUUUCUCGAUGUUGAUAUUGGGGUUUUGAAGGUUGUGUUUGAUGCAGCAAACUUACAUGUUCUACCUACGUAUUUUUUGUGAUAUAGCCAUGGACAUCAAGCCAUCAAGAUUGGUUGGAGACAAAGGCAAAGAUGAAAGGGGAGGAAGACAUGUGAACAACAUGGUUUGUUCCUUUUGGCUCCGUGGGAGGUGCAACAGAAACCCUUGUAGGUUCCUGCACCAAGACUUGCCCCAAAACGCCCACUAUCAAAUAUCAAUUCAGUUCCGCAAAAACUGCUGGCAGAGGAAUCCCGACUCUGAUUUGAAGAGUGAUUCAACUUCAAAAACUCUGCAGGGGUCAUCAGGUUCAACAACUCCAAAGUGUUCAUUAGCUUCAAAUCAAUCCCAUGGAAACAACAGGGAGAGGAGUCUCUAUUCUGAACAGAAGGGUGAAUGGGACUCAACUAAUCUAAGGUGUUCAUCAAGUGCAACAAGAGCAGGAAGUAGCUCUGGAAAUGGAAUUAUACAGAAAGUAAUUGGAGAUAGGGUCUGCAAGUACUGGCUACAUGGAAAUUGUGUGGAGGCAGAUAAGUGCCGGUGUCUCCAUUCAUGGUUUAAGGGCCAUGGGGUUUUCGAGUUGGCCGAGCUUAAUGGGCACAUUAAGAAUGGCACUAUAUAUGCAUGGAAACCCAAAAAGGAAACCAAUGCAUUUGAGCUGGCUACAACAUUGGGAGGCGACAAUGGUGCUGUGGUUUCGCUCUCAGUAGGUGGUGGGAGGCUAUAUUCUGGUUCCAUGGACAAUACAAUAAGAGUGGCAACUUGGACGUGACCUAUACACAUAAUGAAGGACAUGCAAGUUAUUGUCAUUCAUUUCUUUUUAUAUCAUGGUGGAUUUUGGUUUUGUGCAUUUUGGUUUGCUUCUACGAACCUUUUUAUCAAGGGAAUGUGAGCAAUAAUGGUGAUAUAUUCUGCUUCUUGUUACAGGGUGUGCUUGCUCUUUUUGGUAUGAACGUUUCAGAAGGAAAACCAAUACUGUUGUGCUCUUGCAAUGACAAUUCUGUUCGGCUAUAUGAAUUACCAUCAUGAGUAUAAACAUCACUUUUUAGAUUCACCGAGAGGGCCAGGAUAUUUGCAAAAGAAGUCCGAGAAAUUCAAAUAGGUCCUGGGGAACCUUUUUUCACUGGGGAUGGAACUGGACAAGUUGAUGUUUGGAAAUGGCAGGCGGAGCCAACUUCAUUGGCAUCCUGAAUGAUGGAAGGCAGCUGUCAUCUCCAGAAAGCCAUUCUCUGUUUCUUGUUUUGUUCCGUCAUGUUCAUGAUAUUUCUAUUGAAAACUGUAUAGAGGCUUUUAGUAGGUUGUGAAUAUAAUCAUCGACACGAAGAAUUCUUACAAACUGUAAAUUUGUAAUCAGCAUUCAUUCAAAGAAAAUUCAUUGUCAUAUUAGUAUUUCCAUUUUCAA